UAAGCAAAGUUGCAGUAACGUUCCGUGUAAUCAAUGGACCCCAUACGUGUACCGAUGUGUUCCAUCUUGUAAACGCUCCUUUUAUAUGUGGAUAGCUUGUCCAACUGGUGACCGUAGAUUCCCGUAUAAGUACAUCAGAAUAGAGAAAAGGUUACCACAAUGUUGUGAAUGUAAAAGAUACAAGUGCUGAAGAUGUGAGAGUCAAAACCAGUUUUCAUGUCAAUUAAUGAAUAAAUAAUUUAAACGUGUU
Molecule: long non-coding RNA, 250 nt
Filed under: Mytilus galloprovincialis (Mediterranean mussel)
Lineage: Eukaryota; Metazoa; Mollusca; Bivalvia; Mytilida; Mytilidae
Source: RNAcentral